This 65-nucleotide transfer RNA is filed under the name Alarcta quadrimacula. RNAcentral describes it as "tRNA-Trp". Lineage: Eukaryota; Metazoa; Arthropoda; Insecta; Hemiptera; Cicadidae. The record is from RNAcentral.
AAGGCUUUAAGUUAAUUAAACUGUUAUCCUUCAAAGUUAAAUAUACAAUUUUGUUGUAAGCCUUA